ACAUUUGAUUUUCACGAUUUGAUG
RNAcentral lists this non-coding RNA (24 nucleotides) under Arabidopsis thaliana (thale cress). Lineage: Eukaryota; Viridiplantae; Streptophyta; Magnoliopsida; Brassicales; Brassicaceae. The record is from RNAcentral.